UGUGCGAUUAAACUCGACUCGCAGAAUUUUUAGAUAAUAAAAGUCAAACAGCAAAGUCAGCGUAGGAAACAUUUUCAUAAUUUAUUCAACCCAUACAUCUGAAUUAGUCUUACUCAGUGUUGAUUGUAAUGAGAAUUACUGUCUCUAACACGAAUCUCCCGAGAACGGGGUAUGUCAUUUUCCAUGCGGAAGAUAUUAUUAGUCUAAUUUGUAGGAUUUUUGCCCGCUUCUAUAAGCAGUAGACUUCUUUGAAUAAGUAAUGAAGAUCUGUCUAGAAAAUUGGUUUCCCCGCCAUGAUCAGUAUUGAAUUAUUGCAUGUUAUUUGUUCAUUUGGCAGAAAAUGCUUCUUUGUUUGGCAAGAAAGUGAAACAAACAUUCCAUCGCGAUUCCAAUUAAAAUGUCGUACGUGAUGGAUUUAUGGGACUGGAUGUACAGAGAAAUCAGGCGUUAUAUAACCACAAAAUAUAACUAAUAAUGGAGACUGUUCUUAGAACGGCCUGUUCGGCGUUAAAACUAUUGACUUUUAAAAACAGCUAUGCGUCUCUAAACUAUUCACUUAAUGUGUUGUAGAUAACCUAAUAAUCCGACGUGACUAAAGUUAUUUAGUUGAUGAAAAUUAUACAUGCAUGCAUGGAAGAAUUUAUUGAAGCA
RNAcentral lists this long non-coding RNA (651 nucleotides) under Mytilus galloprovincialis (Mediterranean mussel). The record is from RNAcentral. Lineage: Eukaryota; Metazoa; Mollusca; Bivalvia; Mytilida; Mytilidae.